GUGGUAAUAUGCAAGAACCUAUGAAUAAAAGGGUUUGAUUUUGUUCUGGUUCUUGCUGUUGGCAAAUCAUUUGGCAUAGGUGGUCUGAAGGUCCCUUUAUGGGAAGAGGGGAUGAAGCCUCUCUGUAUUAGUCUGGCUGAAAACAGGCUGACAAUAUCAGAACUUCCCAUUAUUUGUGGCUUACUUUAAUUAUAGAGCUCUUUACGACAACAAAAAUUCAUCAGAUUAACUCAAAAAUCAAAUUAUUAUCUUUCUUGCCUGGAAGAAAAAGCACAACUGCAUUUAUCAUCCAUUUAGCUUUUUUUCUUUAACACUAACGAUUAACAGUAAGGUAGCAUCUUACAUUUUUAAGCAUUUUGUACUCUAUUGGAUAUCUUCACUUAAAGUAGUUCUCCUAAGAGGAGUAAGAGAAAAGAUAGCUGUGAAAAAUACCUUCCUAACUAUGAAGACUUAAAAAUAAAUAAAAACUUAAAAAGAAGUUCAAUUCCUGUAACCCAUAGGAAAGGAGAUAGGCUUGCAUUCACCUCAGAAGGGAAGCAACCUCUGUCUUCUUCAUUCACGCACUGCAUAUUUACUGAGCAUCCUAUUAUAUGCCAAGCACUUUGGUAAACUCUGGGAAUAAUUCAGUGCAUCAGUCAUAUGUGUCCCAUGAUAUGAGGCCUGCAUCUAACAAGGAAUAUAGAAAUCAGUAAUAUUAUCAAAACGUAAUAGUCGUUACUCAUCCCAUGGAUUUGCUCAAAAAGGGCUGUGGGUUACUUUCUAAGAAUUGUUUCUCCUCUGGAACCAGAAGACAUAAUCAGUCAUUUAUUUAACGGUAUUUCACGUCUGCUAAGCACUAGGCACUUUGGUUCUGGAUUUUUGGUGGAAAGCAAGACAGAUAUUGCCCCUGCCUUUUUGAAUGUGAAACCACAUUACUUCUAAUCAUCCCGGAAUUGGCUGAGUUAUUAAUGACUCUGUUAACCUUUCAUUCCAAUAAGAACUACAAUGAGUAGUGGCUCAGUAUUAUAUUUUUCUCAGUAAAAUAUUGAUAUAAAGAACAGUGACUCAAACAUGAAAUGUUAGUGGCCUUAAUUUCCCACAGGCAAACCACAUUCAUACGCACAUGCUUUGGGCAGGCGUCAUGCAGCUAUGACCUCAGAACAGGAUAAUUCUGAAGUUUUAUAUGGAAGGGAGAGAAAGAUUUUUCCCUCACUUUGGCAACAAGUAGGCGACCUCAAAC
Molecule: long non-coding RNA, 1219 nt
Filed under: Canis lupus familiaris (dog)
Lineage: Eukaryota; Metazoa; Chordata; Mammalia; Carnivora; Canidae
Description: lncRNA (ENSCAFG00040019328.1)
Source: RNAcentral